This 468-nucleotide ribosomal RNA is filed under the name uncultured bacterium. Its description in RNAcentral is "partial 16S ribosomal RNA". It matches the Rfam family "Bacterial small subunit ribosomal RNA", at positions 28 to 507 of the family's 1533-position model. The record is from RNAcentral.
GACGAACGCUGGCGGCGUGCUUAACACAUGCAAGUCGAACGGAAAGGCCCUGCUUUUGUGGGGUGCUCGAGUGGCGAACGGGUGAGUAACACGUGAGUAACCUGCCCUUGACUUUGGGAUAACUUCAGGAAACUGGGGCUAAUACCGGAUAGGAGCUCCCGCUGCAUGGUGGGGGCUGGAAAGUUUCGGCGGUUGGGGAUGGACUCGCGGCUUAUCAGCUUGUUGGGGGGGUAGUGGCUUACCAAGGCUUUGACGGGUAGCCGGCCUGAGAGGGUGACCGGCCACAUUGGGACGGAGCUGCGGCCCAGACUCCUACGGGAGGCAGCAGUGGAGAAUAUUGCACAAUGGGCGGAAGCCUGAUGCAGCAACGCCGCGUGCGGGAUGACGGCAUUCGGGUUGUAAUCCGCUUUCGCCUGUGACGAAGCGUGAGUGACGGUAAUGGGUAAAGAAGCACCGGCUAACUACGUG